MicroRNA precursor from Nicotiana attenuata, 89 nucleotides. It matches the Rfam family "MIR6152 microRNA precursor family". NCBI's taxonomy places the organism in Eukaryota, Viridiplantae, Streptophyta, Magnoliopsida, Solanales, Solanaceae. The record is from Rfam.
AGGAUCUUGAACGACUGUAUUCACGACGUGAAACAGGGGAUUACACUGUUUUUAAACGGAAAGUAAAUCAAUUAACAUAAUAGACUCCU